CCUACGGGUGGCAGCAGUGAGGAAUAUUGGUCAAUGGUCGAGAGUCUGAACCAGCCAAGCCGCGUGAAGGAUGAAUGUCCUAUGGGUUGUAAACUUCUUUUAUAAGGGAAUAAAGCCAGGCACGUGUCCCUUUUUGCAUGUACCUUAUGAAUAAGCAUCGGCUAACUCCGUGCCAGCAGCCGCGGUAAUACGGAGGAUCCGAGCGUUAUCCGGUUUUAUUGGGUUUAAAGGGAGCGUAGGUGGGUUGUUAAGUCAGUGGUCAAAGUCUGGGGCUCAACCGUAAAAUUGCAAUUGAUGCUGGCAGUCUUGAAUACAGUUGAGGUAGGCGAAA
RNAcentral lists this ribosomal RNA (331 nucleotides) under uncultured bacterium. Its description in RNAcentral is "partial 16S ribosomal RNA". It matches the Rfam family "Bacterial small subunit ribosomal RNA", at positions 338 to 666 of the family's 1533-position model. The record is from RNAcentral.